RNAcentral lists this ribosomal RNA (253 nucleotides) under uncultured bacterium. Its description in RNAcentral is "partial 16S ribosomal RNA". It matches the Rfam family "Bacterial small subunit ribosomal RNA", at positions 524 to 776 of the family's 1533-position model. The record is from RNAcentral.
UACGGAGGGGGCUAGCGUUGUUCGGAAUUACUGGGCGUAAAGCGCACGUAGGCGGCUUUGUAAGUUAGAGGUGAAAGCCCAGGGCUUAACCCUGGAAUUGCCUUUAAGACUGCAUCGCUAGAAUCGUGGAGAGGUGAGUGGAAUUCCGAGUGUAGAGGUGAAAUUCGUAGAUAUCAGGAGGAAUACCGGUGGCGAAGGCGGCUAUCUGGCCCAACACUGACACUCAGACCCGAAAGCGUGGGGAUCAAACAGG